ACUGGGAUAACUCCGGGAAACCGGAGCUAAUACCGGAUAGUUCCUUGAACCGCAUGGUUCAAGGAUGAAAGACGGUUUCGGCUGUCACUUACAGAUGGACCCGCGGCGCAUUAGCUAGUUGGUGGGGUAAUGGCUCACCAAGGCGACGAUGCGUAGCCGACCUGAGAGGGUGAUCGGCCACACUGGGACUGAGACACGGCCCAGACUCCUACGGGAGGCAGCAGUAGGGAAUCUUCCGCAAUGGACGAAAGUCUGACGGAGCAACGCCGCGUGAGUGAUGAAGGUUUUCGGAUCGUAAAGCUCUGUUGUUAGGGAAGAACAAGUGCGAGAGUAACUGCUCGCACCUUGACGGUACCUAACCAGAAAGCCACGGCUAACUACGUGCCAGCAGCCGCGGUAAUACGUAGGUGGCAAGCGUUGUCCGGAAUUAUUGGGCGUAAAGGGCUCGCAGGCGGUUUCUUAAGUCUGAUGUGAAAGCCCCCGGCUCAACCGGGGAGGGUCAUUGGAAACUGGGAAACUUGAGUGCAGAAGAGGAGAGUGGAAUUCCACGUGUAGCGGUGAAAUGCGUAGAGAUGUGGAGGAACACCAGUGGCGAAGGCGACUCUCUGGUCUGUAACUGACGCUGAGGAGCGAAAGCGUGGGGAGCGAACAGGAUUAGAUACCCUGGUAGUCCACGCCGUAAACGAUGAGUGCUAAGUGUUAGGGGGUUUCCGCCCCUUAGUGCUGCAGCUAACGCAUUAAGCACUCCGCCUGGGGAGUACGGUCGCAAGACUGAAACUCAAAGGAAUUGACGGGGGCCCGCACAAGCGGUGGAGCAUGUGGUUUAAUUCGAAGCAACGCGAAGAACCUUACCAGGUCUUGACAUCCUCUGACAACCCUAGAGAUAGGGCUUUCCCUUCGGGGACAGAGUGACAGGUGGUGCAUGGUUGUCGUCAGCUCGUGUCGUGAGAUGUUGGGUUAAGUCCCGCAACGAGCGCAACCCUUGAUCUUAGUUGCCAGCAUUUAGUUGGGCACUCUAAGGUGACUGCCGGUGACAAACCGGAGGAAGGUGGGGAUGACGUCAAAUCAUCAUGCCCCUUAUGACCUGGGCUACACACGUGCUACAAUGGACAGAACAAAGGGCUGCGAGACCGCAAGGUUUAGCCAAUCCCAUAAAUCUGUUCUCAGUUCGGAUCGCAGUCUGCAACUCGACUGCGUGAAGCUGGAAUCGCUAGUAAUCGC
Molecule: ribosomal RNA, 1221 nt
Filed under: Bacillaceae bacterium 11_Ne_14
Lineage: Bacteria; Bacillati; Bacillota; Bacilli; Caryophanales; Bacillaceae
Description: bacterial SSU rRNA
Rfam family: Bacterial small subunit ribosomal RNA
Source: RNAcentral